RNAcentral lists this unclassified non-coding RNA (352 nucleotides) under soil metagenome. RNAcentral's name for it is "partial contains 5.8S ribosomal RNA, internal transcribed spacer 2, and large subunit ribosomal RNA". The stretch from base 1 to 120 matches the Rfam family "5.8S ribosomal RNA", at positions 35 to 154 of the family's 154-position model. The record is from RNAcentral.
GAUGAAGAACGUAGCGAAAUGCGAUAAGUAAUGUGAAUUGCAGAAUUCAGUGAAUCAUCGAAUCUUUGAACGCACAUUGCGCCCGCCAGUAUUCUGGCGGGCAUGCCUGUUCGAGCGUCAUUACAACCCUCAGGCCCCCGGGCCUGGCGUUGGGGAUCGGCGGAGCCCCCCGUGGGCACACGCCGUCCCCCAAAUACAGUGGCGGUCCCGCCGCAGCUUCCAUCGCGUAGUAGCUAACACCUCGCGACUGGAGAGCGGCGCGGCCACGCCGUAAAACACCCAGCUCUUCUGAAGUUGACCUCGAAUCAGGUAGGAAUACCCGCUGAACUUAAGCAUAUCAAUAAGCGGAGGA